UACGUAGGGCGCAAGCGUUGUCCGGAAUUAUUGGGCGUAAAGCGCGCGCAGGCGGCUCGGAAAGUCGGAUGUGAAAACUCGGGGCUCAACCCCGGGCGUGCAUCCGAUACUGCCGGGCUUGAGGCAGGUAGGGGAGAUCGGAAUUCCUGGUGUAGCGGUGAAAUGCGCAGAUAUCAGGAGGAACACCGGUGGCGAAGGCGGAUCUCUGGGCCUGUCCUGACGCUGAGGCGCGAAAGCUAGGGGAGCGAACAGG
Molecule: ribosomal RNA, 253 nt
Filed under: uncultured bacterium
Lineage: Bacteria
Description: partial 16S ribosomal RNA
Rfam family: Bacterial small subunit ribosomal RNA
Source: RNAcentral